CUCAGAUAUAAGAAAGGAUGAAGUCCUUCCUAGCCAUGGAAGAGCAAACUUUGUUGAUUGGCAAAGCUGGCACCACGUCGUUGGUAUCAGGUUCUGACUUGCACGAGGGACAGUC
Small nucleolar RNA from Sorex araneus (European shrew), 115 nucleotides. Lineage: Eukaryota; Metazoa; Chordata; Mammalia; Eulipotyphla; Soricidae. The record is from Ensembl.